This 253-nucleotide ribosomal RNA is filed under the name uncultured bacterium. RNAcentral's name for it is "partial 16S ribosomal RNA". It matches the Rfam family "Bacterial small subunit ribosomal RNA", at positions 524 to 776 of the family's 1533-position model. The record is from RNAcentral.
UACGUAGGGGGCUAGCGUUGUCCGGAUUUAUUGGGCGUAAAGAGCGUGUAGGCGGCUAGGUAGGUCCGUUGUGAAAACUCGAGGCUCAACCUCGAGCUGUCGAUGGAAACCAUCUGGCUAGAGUCCGGAAGAGGAGAGUGGAAUUCCUGGUGUAGCGGUGAAAUGCGCAGAUAUCAGGAAGAACACCCGUGGCGAAGGCGGCUCUCUGGUACGUGACUGACGCUGAGACGCGAAAGCGUGGGGAGCGAACAGG